RNAcentral lists this long non-coding RNA (1919 nucleotides) under Sus scrofa (pig). Its description in RNAcentral is "lncRNA (ENSSSCG00015041539.1)". The record is from RNAcentral. Lineage: Eukaryota; Metazoa; Chordata; Mammalia; Artiodactyla; Suidae.
AUGUUCUGCAAUAUCUCAAUGUACUUAUUUGCUAGAAGGAACCCAAGACCCAAACAGCCACAAAUGCUUGCUGGGCUCACUGGUUAAGAAUGGUUGGUGGUUUGCAAAAUAUAAAUAGAAGAAACGAUAACCAGUUUCAGCCAGUCUGACGCCACGAAAAAAAAUCAGAUGCAUAAGUAAUGAGCCAGUGUGCAGCAGCGUCUUCAUGAGUUCAGAUCCGGAGCCCUCCGUCAGUGGCGACCAUACUGCCUCUGUUACUGGCAUUCCCACCCGACGUCAGAUGCUGGAAACCCACGCCGCCUCUAUCCGAGGCUUGGGGGCCAUUCAGGGCUUCAAAAUGGUACCGUCCCGAGAAGGAACCCCAGAAAAUGCCAUCCUUCCUCUUCCUUGAAUGGAGGCGGGACAGUCACUCUCCCCCUCCAUCCUCUGGACCUCCGAGGCUCCGGAGGCGGCUGCCCCCUCCUGUUCUCACCCCACAAGCUCUUCCUCCUCCUCUCCAUCCCCUUUAACUUGGCUUUAGCCUUCCAGAGUGGGCAGCCCUAACGAGGUGCUCUGAGAGAGGCCUUUUUUUCUUUUUAAAUCAUGGUUCAAAAAAAUAUACACAGCACAGCGGGUACCCUCUGAACCAUCUCGAGGUGUGCCGGUCAGUGGCUUGAAGCACAUUCAUGCGGUGGCCAAGCGUCUCCGCCCUCCACCCACAGGACUCUUUUCAUCUUGCACAACUGAAAGUCUGUCCCCAUCAAACAGGAAUGCCCCACCCCUCUCCGCCCACCAUCCUCUUCUCUGUCUCUGUGAGUCUGAUGAUGCCAGGAGCCUCAGAGAAAUCAUCUGGGAUGUGUCCUUGGUGCCUGGCUCAUUAUUCAUGGAGCAUCAUGUCGCCAAGGUUCAUCCGCGUUGCUGCCUGUAUCUGAUUUCCUUCCUUGCGAGAGGUGAGUAAUAUUCCAUUGCGUGUGUAUACAAAGUAGUCACCUUUAACCAGAUUUUAAAGCAAGACUGUGACUCGUUGCCUUGGCAGAGUUUUGGGUACCACACAGGGGAAGCUGGCACAUCUUCCCAACGUCCUGCUGGAGAAGCAAGAGGAGGUCUGAUGCUGGGCUCACCAGGAACACCACGCAGCUUCCAGGCUGACCCCAUUCCCUUGGUUUAAUUCACCCACAACUUUUCUCCCAGUCUCAGCUUGGGAAGCCCUCAUGUUCAGGGUUUUUUCUACAUCCUUGUUCUUCAGAAGGAACUGCGGCUCCCUAGGUGAGUCUCUGCCCACCCCGCCUCCCCGGUUCUGGGCUAAGAUCAGAGGAGCCCUGCCUCAAGCCACCAACUCCGCCCUGCAGGGGACCAAGAUCUCGGGACGCCUCUGCUCCCAGUCCAGAAAAUCUUAGCAGGAACUCUGUGGAAGAAUCAGCCCCAUUGUUCGUGGAGCACUUUGAAGAUGAGGGCAAGACAAAAUGCACAGAGCCCAAGAGCCACGUUAGGCCAAUUAGUAUCGUAGUUUCCAUGCAAAUGACCUCAAGGGGAGGGGAAAAGUGAUUUCUGCUUGUCCCGUACCUUUCUGGGGUCUGAAACUGCCCUCCACACACACACUUGGAAUGUUUUCCAUGGAGGGUCAUCCCCGGCUUCUGAGGCUUCUGCUCUUGUUUUUGUUGAAGGCAUCUUCUGAUCCCCACGAAAAGUGUCACCAUGAAUGACGGCAGGAAAGCAAAACAACACAAGGCUUGGUUGUGUGUUUUUAAAGCCAGUUAAUGAUGGAACAUUAGAGCUAAUGGCUUUGGGAAGGGAAAUUGGAUGCCGAAAGAAGGUACCAUGAGUUAUCUCCUCCUCACUUGAAGUGCCCUCUCAUUUUCCAAUCCUUUCAAGUGCCAGGCUUCUGGGAGCAGCCCUACGCNACGUGUACCUUCCAGGCCAGCAAAUGCAUCUUCUUCCCA